AGGGAAAUAGGUCAGUAGCAGAGCACAGGCUUGGCAUGCAUGAGGUUCUGGGUUCAAUCCCCAGUACCUCCA
RNAcentral lists this transfer RNA (72 nucleotides) under Camelus bactrianus (Bactrian camel). It matches the Rfam family "tRNA". From Rfam's summary of the family: Transfer RNA (tRNA) molecules are approximately 80 nucleotides in length. Their secondary structure includes four short double-helical elements and three loops (D, anti-codon, and T loops). Lineage: Eukaryota; Metazoa; Chordata; Mammalia; Artiodactyla; Camelidae. RNAcentral also lists the same sequence under 2 other names. The record is from Rfam by way of RNAcentral.